GGAUCUUUGGUGAAUUUCUGAAGUGCAUCUUGUAGAUAGUACACGCUGCUGUUACUGAGCAUCGGUGGUGGAGGGAGUGAGUGUUGAAAAUGAGGGGAGUGGAUGUUCUCACCUUAAUUCCUUUCAAAGCUAGGUGUAUUUCAUUAGGAGAACUUCUGAUAUUAUGGAUGGAAUCUCGUGAAGCUCCCAGGAGUUUGAAGUGAGGCAAGCAAGGCACUUAUUUGACCAGGAGUUCAAAAGUCAGCUUCCCAACAAUGGGAUGUAAACAGGGUGACAGCGUUUACAAGGAUCCAGAUGGACAGGGAAUGGCAGCAGAGAAAGUAGGAACUGCAGAUGCUGGAGAAUCUGAGAUAACAAGGUGUAGAGCUGGAUGAACACAGCAGGCCAAGCAGCAUCAGAGGAGCAGGAAGGCCGACGCUUCAGGCCUAGACCCUUCUUCAGAAAUCAGGGAAUGGCAGCAGUUUACAAAUCCCUCACCAACAGUGAGAACAAUUGUCCUGGUUGCAACACGAACAUUGAGUACCUUUUAAACACGGCUCCCUAACCUUCAGCCUUCUGAGGUAACAGACUUCCUAUCCUUCCUACCAUGUGAUUGGCUGUGUUCCUCAAAUUUGGAGCUGAUUGCUGGGAUAUUGUAUAUUUCCAGCUGUGUCAUCAAUAAUCUCACCAUUCUCGUAAUAUUCUUCCCUGUUGACCGAGCUUCCAUUAGUCAAUGGGCAAGCCCUGUAUUCACCCACCAGAAAAGCAAAACACAACUUGGAGGCACAGUACAUUGCUGAAUAUUCUGUAAUGCUGUGUGAGUCACUAUGGACCCUGCCUAUCAGAAUUAUCCCUAAGGGUGUGUCCUAAUAGAAUACACAGAAUGGUCAAUCAUUACUUCACUCUCCAAUCUGUGCUGAGGCAACCAUCUCAGUUACAUCGAUAGAAAUGGGGAUCCAUCAUGAGGUUCGGUCACUCUCGGGGUUGGUUCAGACUUGGGAUUUGGUCACUUGGUUUGGUCAGUCUCGGAGUUCAGUCAGGCUUCAUGAGACCAUGACAGUAGGCCAUUCAGCCCAUUGAGUCUACUCUGCCAUUCAAUAUAUCAUGGCUAAUCUGAUAAUCAACUCCCCAUAUUCUGCCUAGUGCCCAUAACUCUUGAUUCUCUUACUGAUUAAAAAUCUACCAGGGUUCAGUAUUGGGGUUCGGUCAGUCUCAGAACGUAAGAACUAGGAAGUAGACCCUAAGGUCUUUCAAGCCACCCCCCCUCCAUCAUUUGUACCAUCGUGUCUGAUCUUCAGCUACACCUCCACCUUGCGUAUGUUUCCCAGAUCCUUGAUUCCCUAAGAGAUUGUUUGUCUCAACCUUAAAUAUAGUCAACAAUGGAGCACCUGCACCCCUCUGGGAUAGAGAAUUCCAAAGAUUCACAAUUGUUUGUGAGGAAACCCCCUGAUUUCAGUUCUAAAUGAUCUUGUUAAUUAGAAAAUGCCUCAUUUAUCUUGGUUUCCUCAUUAUCUUAUUAAAAAAAAAACUCAAACUUGA
Molecule: long non-coding RNA, 1518 nt
Organism: Rhincodon typus (whale shark)
Lineage: Eukaryota; Metazoa; Chordata; Chondrichthyes; Orectolobiformes; Rhincodontidae
Exons: 2
Source: RefSeq, a predicted model, not a curated record